This 255-nucleotide ribosomal RNA is filed under the name uncultured bacterium. RNAcentral describes it as "partial 16S ribosomal RNA". It matches the Rfam family "Bacterial small subunit ribosomal RNA", at positions 524 to 776 of the family's 1533-position model. The record is from RNAcentral.
UACGUAGGGUGCGAGCGUUAAUCGGAAUUACUGGGCGUAAAGCGUGCGCAGGCGGUGAUGUAAGACCGAUGUGAAAUCCCCGGGCUUAACCUGGGAACUGCGCUCGAAACGGCGGAACUAGAGUUCGGGAGAGGAGAGUGGAAUUCCCAGUGUAGAGGUGAAAUUCGUAGUAUAGUUGGGAGGAACACCUGUGGCGAAAGCGGCGCACUGGACCAUAACUGACGCUGAUGCGCGAAAGCUAGGGGAGCAAACAGG